CUGGUUUCUAAGGAGAAAGCAACAGAAGUGGCCAAAGUCAACGAUACAGAGAAGAUUAGCAUGGCCCCUGCGCAAGGAUGAUACGCAAAUUCGUGAAGCGUUCCAUAAGUUU
Small nuclear RNA from Lepus europaeus (European hare), 112 nucleotides. NCBI's taxonomy places the organism in Eukaryota, Metazoa, Chordata, Mammalia, Lagomorpha, Leporidae. The record is from RefSeq and is a predicted model, not a curated record.